CCCUGCUCAGGCUUGUGGCCUCCUACUUCCAGGCCAUGAUGCCAACAGGUGCCACUCUGGGAACUGCAGCUCCUCCACUGCCCAGCUCGGAGCCCCACUACUGCCUGGGUCCUGGCCAGGUAGCCGCUGGCCUCCCUGUCGCCGAUUCAAGAGAUGCGCACGAUGCAGAAGGGACAGCCAGGAGAAAUUCAGCAGAGUGAUGGUGUAAUUACAGCCUCCGUCUGCCAAGGGCCCCACCAGCCUUCAGGAGCAGCACUGCAGGAGCCAGCCGGCGGCUUCCGGGAGCUUUGCUGCGUCAUAGCUUCCCCCAGCCACAGAGCCAAGGGUUGGCAGGGCGAGUGGGCCAGAGAUUUCGAUGGAGGCAGAAGAGCUGGGGCGCCCUGGAGGCUCUCCCACAGAAUCUCCAGUUGCUCAGUGAGUGUGAUAUUGGCUGGAGUCUCAGAAAAGGACUGACCACUGCCCAAGUCAGA
Long non-coding RNA from Erinaceus europaeus (western European hedgehog), 470 nucleotides. RefSeq lists it as uncharacterized. The record is from RefSeq and is a predicted model, not a curated record. The transcript has 3 exons. Lineage: Eukaryota; Metazoa; Chordata; Mammalia; Eulipotyphla; Erinaceidae.